AGUGAAUGCUGGCGGUAGGCCUAACACAUGCAAGUCGAACGGCAGCACAGUAAGAGCUUGCUCUUACGGGUGGCGAGUGGCGGACGGGUGAGGAAUACAUCGGAAUCUACUUUUUCGUGGGGGAUAACGUAGGGAAACUUACGCUAAUACCGCAUACGACCUACGGGUGAAAGCAGGGGAUCUUCGGACCUUGCGCGAUUGAAUGAGCCGAUGUCGGAUUAGCUAGUUGGCGGGGUAAAGGCCCACCAAGGCGACGAUCCGUAGCUGGUCUGAGAGGAUGAUCAGCCACACUGGAACUGAGACACGGUCCAGACUCCUAUGGGAGGCAGCAGUGGGGAAUAUUGGACAAUGGGCGCAAGCCUGAUCCAGCCAUACCGCGUGGGUGAAGAAGGCCUUCGGGUUGUAAAGCCCUUUUGUUGGGAAAGAAAAGCAGCAGGUUAAUACCCCGCUGUUCUGACGGUACCCAAAGAAUAAGCACCGGCUAACUUCGUG
This 492-nucleotide ribosomal RNA is filed under the name uncultured bacterium. Its description in RNAcentral is "partial 16S ribosomal RNA". It matches the Rfam family "Bacterial small subunit ribosomal RNA", at positions 29 to 507 of the family's 1533-position model. The record is from RNAcentral.